ACACACACACAGACACACACAGACGGAUGGAUGGACACACACAUGCGCACAGACCCCAGGAACUGGAGUCUGUAGAUGAGCCACAUGCAGGUUUUGGAUUAGGACUGGACUGGACUAUCUAAUCUGGAAUCUACAGCAGCACAUGGUGACUGACAGCUGCAGGGUUUAAGCUGGUGCUCUGUGAGCACCGGCACAUGUGUUGGUGCCAGUUGGAGAAGGAUGGCAGUGGACUCUCCUCCUCCUCCUCCUCCUCCUGCGUGUGCUGGGUGGUGCUCACCGUGGAGGGUGAAAGACAGAUGAUAUUAAGACACGUCUCAUGUCUCUUAUUGUAAAGUCGUCUGUGUUUUCAAAGCAAAUGUAUAUGUUGUGUUAAACACACACACACACACACACACACACAGUGUCAGUGUAAUAGGCCUGUGAUGACAUCACUGCGACGGUUGUUAUUAAUCUUCACACGUGCGACGACCACGUGCAUGUGCAUGCUGCUAAACUCAGGUCAGUCUUUCAUCACUGACCAGAAAACCUUAGACUGGCGGCUUCUUGAUAUCAUGUCCGUUCAUUUCAUAAUAUAUGAUUAUUGUCCAAACAUGAACGGAUGUGAACGUUGUUACGUUUCUUCAUUUUCAGGAAUGAAAAAACCUCAGUAACAAAACAAACGCGUCAUGUGAUCGAACCAAAGAAGGAAGUCAUGAUCCCCUGUUUCUAUGAUCAGCACCAGUGCUGGUUCUGAAUGAACUGGAUCAGAUCUGAGUCAAAGCUGAGCUCUCAGAAAACAUGAACAAACACAACUCACUGAGACUCAAGUCUGGAAACUGUAGCUCAUCAUUGAACUGGACUUCAUUUUCAUCAAUUGUAUUUUUCAACUGAUAAUUUACUCCCAAGACGAGGAAACAUGGAUUAAUGUCCACAUUUCAGUGACAAAACUGACACAUAAGUCAUCAUAACUAGCACAUGUCAAAGUAAGACUGAAGUUAACCUGCGGGAACAGUAGAGAGCUUCUGUUUGUUUUAACUUAUAACAGUAAUCAAUCAUGUGAUGAUCAGACAACUGUGUGUGUGUGUGUUUGAUGUCACACACGAGCUGCACUGUGUGUGUGUGUGUGUGUGAACAUGAACAAGUCACAACCCACUGAUGUCGCCUGACGCUGCUGUCACGUUGUUUUUCUGUUUGUUUUGUAUAAAUGUCAAAAGGCCAACACGUGUCGUCUCUAAUAAACAUGUAGAGGGCUUGGAAA
Molecule: long non-coding RNA, 1237 nt
Organism: Solea senegalensis (Senegalese sole)
Lineage: Eukaryota; Metazoa; Chordata; Actinopteri; Pleuronectiformes; Soleidae
Exons: 2
Source: RefSeq, a predicted model, not a curated record